UUGCAGGACGCUUAGGGUUCCGCCGCAUUCCCAGCGGGUCAGGUCCGAGAAGCUUCACCGAACCGGCAAACUCCGGUAAGGCACACGGCGGGGCAAAAUCCCGGGAGAC
This 109-nucleotide small RNA is filed under the name Cognatishimia maritima. RNAcentral describes it as "Thalassobius maritimus Guanidine-I sequence". It matches the Rfam family "Guanidine-I riboswitch aptamer". Rfam says of the family: This family represents a conserved RNA structure found upstream of the ykkC and yxkD genes in Bacillus subtilis and related genes in other bacteria. The function of this family is unclear although it has been suggested that it may function to switch on efflux pumps and detoxification systems in response to harmful environmental molecules. The record is from Rfam by way of RNAcentral. Lineage: Bacteria; Pseudomonadati; Pseudomonadota; Alphaproteobacteria; Rhodobacterales; Paracoccaceae.